GGCUCAGGAUGAACGCUGGCGGCGUGCUUAACACAUGCAAGUCGAACGGUGAAGCUCAGCUUGCUGGGUGGAUCAGUGGCGAACGGGUGAGUAACACGUGAGCAACCUGCCCCUGACUCUGGGAUAAGCGCUGGAAACGGCGUCUAAUACUGGAUAUGUAUCACAGUCGCAUGGCUGGUGGUUGGAAAGAUUUUUCGGUUGGGGAUGGGCUCGCGGCCUAUCAGCUUGUUGGUGAGGUAAUGGCUCACCAAGGCGUCGACGGGUAGCCGGCCUGAGAGGGUGACCGGCCACACUGGGACUGAGACACGGCCCAGACUCCUACGGGAGGCAGCAGUGGGGAAUAUUGCACAAUGGGCGGAAGCCUGAUGCAGCAACGCCGCGUGAGGGAUGACGGCCUUCGGGUUGUAAACCUCUUUUAGCAAGGAAGAAGCGAGAGUGACGGUACUUGCAGAAAAAGCGCCGGCUAACUACGUGCCAGCAGCCGCGGUAAUACGUAGGGCGCAAGCGUUAUCCGGAAUUAUUGGGCGUAAAGAGCUCGUAGGCGGUUUGUCGCGUCUGCUGUGAAAUCCCGAGGCUCAACCUCGGGCCUGCAGUGGGUACGGGCAGACUAGAGUGCGGUAGGGGAGAUUGGAAUUCCUGGUGUAGCGGUGGAAUGCGCAGAUAUCAGGAGGAACACCGAUGGCGAAGGCAGAUCUCUGGGCCGUAACUGACGCUGAGGAGCGAAAGGGUGGGGAGCAAACAGGCUUAGAUACCCUGGUAGUCCACCCCGUAAACGUUGGGAACUAGUUGUGGGGUCCUUUCCACGGAUUCCGUGACGCAGCUAACGCAUUAAGUUCCCCGCCUGGGGAGUACGGCCGCAAGGCUAAAACUCAAAGGAAUUGACGGGGAACCCGCA
RNAcentral lists this ribosomal RNA (895 nucleotides) under Microbacterium sp. RI48. RNAcentral describes it as "bacterial SSU rRNA". It matches the Rfam family "Bacterial small subunit ribosomal RNA", at positions 21 to 925 of the family's 1533-position model. The record is from RNAcentral. Lineage: Bacteria; Bacillati; Actinomycetota; Actinomycetes; Micrococcales; Microbacteriaceae.